UACGUAGGGUGCAAGCGUUGUCCGGAAUUAUUGGGCGUAAAGAGCUCGUAGGCGGUUUGUCGCGUCUGCUGUGAAAACUCGGGGCUUAACUCCGGGCCUGCAGUGGGUACGGGCAGACUAGAGUGCGGUAGGGGAGACUGGAAUUCCUGGUGUAGCGGUGGAAUGCGCAGAUAUCAGGAGGAACACCGGUGGCGAAGGCGGGUCUCUGGGCCGUUACUGACGCUGAGGAGCGAAAGCGUGGGGAGCAAACAGG
Molecule: ribosomal RNA, 253 nt
Filed under: uncultured bacterium
Lineage: Bacteria
Description: partial 16S ribosomal RNA
Rfam family: Bacterial small subunit ribosomal RNA
Source: RNAcentral